UACGUAGGGUGCGAGCGUUAAUCGGAAUUACUGGGCGUAAAGCGUGCGCAGGCGGUGAUGUAAGACAGGUGUGAAAUCCCCGGGCUUAACCUGGGAACUGCAUUUGUGACUGCAUCGCUGGAGUGCGGCAGAGGGGGAUGGAAUUCCGCGUGUAGCAGUGAAAUGCGUAGAUAUGCGGAGGAACACCGAUGGCGAAGGCAAUCCCAUGGGCCUGCACUGACGCUCAUGCACGAAAGCGUGGGGAGCAAACAGG
Molecule: ribosomal RNA, 253 nt
Filed under: uncultured bacterium
Lineage: Bacteria
Description: partial 16S ribosomal RNA
Rfam family: Bacterial small subunit ribosomal RNA
Source: RNAcentral